RNAcentral lists this ribosomal RNA (133 nucleotides) under uncultured bacterium. RNAcentral describes it as "partial 16S ribosomal RNA". The record is from RNAcentral.
GAGUUAGCCGGGGCUUCCUCCAGAGGUACCGUCACUUUCUUCGUCCCUCUAGACAGGAGUUUACGAUCCGAAAACCUUCAUCCUCCACGCGGCGUUGCUGGGUCAGGCUUGCGCCCAUUGCCCAAAAUUCCCC